Molecule: ribosomal RNA, 253 nt
Filed under: uncultured bacterium
Lineage: Bacteria
Description: partial 16S ribosomal RNA
Rfam family: Bacterial small subunit ribosomal RNA
Source: RNAcentral
UACGGGGGGGGCAAGCGUUGUUCGGAAUUACUGGGCGUAAAGCGUGCGCAGGCGGCCUUUCAAGUCAGUGGUGAAAGCCCGGAGCUCAACUCCGGAACUGCCAUUGAAACUGUUUGGCUUGAGUACGAGAGAGGUGAGUGGAAUUCCCAGUGUAGAGGUGAAAUUCGUAGAUAUGUGGAGGAACACCAGUGGCGAAGGCGACUCUUUGGCCUGUAACUGACGCUGAGGCGCGAAAGCGUGGGGAGCAAACAGG